UAAGCGGAGGAAAAGAAACUAACANGGAUUCCCCUAGUAACUGCGAGUGAAGCGGGAAAAGCUCAAAUUUAAAAUCUGGUGGUCUUUGGCCAUCCGAGUUGUAAUUUAGAGAAGCGUCUNCCGCGCUGGACCGUGCACAAGUCUCCUGGAAUGGAGCGUCAUAGAGGGUGAGAAUCCCGUCUUUGGCAUGGACACACCAGGGCUUUUGUGAUGCGCUCUCGAAGAGUCGAGUUGUUUGGGAAUGCAGCUCAAAAUGGGUGGUGAACUCCAUCUAAAGCUAAAUAUUGGCGAGAGACCGAUAGCGAACAAGUACCGUGAGGGAAAGAUGAAAAGCACUUUGGAAAGAGAGUGAAACAGUACGUGAAAUUGUUGAAAGGGAAACGCUUGAAGUCAGUCACGUCGACCGAGACUCAGCCUUGCCUCGGCUUGGUGUACUUCUCGGCUGACGGGUCAGCAUCAAUUUUGCCCCUUGGAUAAUGGCGAGGGAAAUGUGACACCUUUAUGGUGUGUUAUAGUCUCUCGUCGCAUGCAAGGGUUGGGAUUGAGGAACUCAGCACGCGCCCUUUGGGUGUCGGGGCUUUGCCCACGAUACGUGCUUAGGAUGUUGGCAUAAUGGCUUUAAACGACC
Molecule: ribosomal RNA, 628 nt
Filed under: uncultured Russulaceae
Lineage: Eukaryota; Fungi; Basidiomycota; Agaricomycetes; Russulales; Russulaceae
Description: LSU rRNA
Rfam family: Eukaryotic large subunit ribosomal RNA
Source: RNAcentral